AUAAAGGCUAUGAAGAGAAGAGUAAUUAUGAAGGAAUAUUCAGAGAGUUUUCGGUUGGUGUGAGGAAAUUAUGAAAACAUAAUGAAGCAAGUCUUGGAGCUGCAUACGGAUCUUAUGAAAUGAAUUAUAAGUGAUGCUAUGACGUGGGUUCACGUUACAGAACUAGAGUAUGAUUUUGCCUAGAAUUAUAGGAAGAUGGUGUACUUAAUGAGUCUAAAAUGGUGACAUUUUAGAAAAAAGGGUGGCAACGUGAAAUUGAAUUUUCGCCCCUGUA
This 274-nucleotide non-coding RNA is filed under the name Clostridium saccharoperbutylacetonicum. Its description in RNAcentral is "T-box sequence". It matches the Rfam family "T-box leader". Rfam says of the family: Uncharged tRNA acts as the effector for transcription antitermination of genes in the T-box leader family. T-boxes are found upstream of many aminoacyl-tRNA synthetase genes and some amino acid biosynthetic genes usually in Gram-positive bacteria. The record is from RNAcentral. Lineage: Bacteria; Bacillati; Bacillota; Clostridia; Eubacteriales; Clostridiaceae.